Molecule: ribosomal RNA, 253 nt
Filed under: uncultured bacterium
Lineage: Bacteria
Description: partial 16S ribosomal RNA
Rfam family: Bacterial small subunit ribosomal RNA
Source: RNAcentral
UACGAAGGGUGCAAACGUUGCUCGGAAUUAUUGGGCGUAAAGGGCGCGUAGGCGGUUUUUUAAGUCGGAUGUGCAAUCCCCAGGCUCAACCUGGGAACUGCAUCCGAGACUGGAAGGCUAGAGUACUGGAGAGGGUGGUGGAAUUCCUCGUGUAGCGGUGAAAUGCGCAGAGAUGAGGAGGAACACCAGUGGCGAAGGCGGCCACCUGGACAGUAACUGACGCUGAGGCGCGAAGGCGUGGGGAGCGAACGGG